This 460-nucleotide ribosomal RNA is filed under the name uncultured bacterium. Its description in RNAcentral is "partial 16S ribosomal RNA". It matches the Rfam family "Bacterial small subunit ribosomal RNA", at positions 338 to 795 of the family's 1533-position model. The record is from RNAcentral.
CCUACGGGAGGCAGCAGUGAGGAAUAUUGGUCAAUGGACGAGAGUCUGAACCAGCCAAGUAGCGUGAAGGAUGACUGCCCUAUGGGUUGUAAACUUCUUUUAUAUGGGAAUAAAAUGUUCCACGUGUGGGAUUUUGUAUGUCCCAUAUGAAUAAGGAUCGGCUAACUCCGUGCCAGCAGCCGCGGUAAUACGGAGGAUCCGAGCGUUAUCCGGAUUUAUUGGGUUUAAAGGGAGCGUAGGUGGAUUGUUAAGUCAGUUGUGAAAGUUUGCGGCUCAACCGUAAAAUUGCAGUUGAAACUGGCAGUCGUGAGUACAGUAGAGGUGAGCGGAAUUCGUGGUGUAGCGGUGAAAUGCUUAGAUAGCACGAAGAACUCCGAUUGCGAAGGCAGCUCACUGGACUGCAACUGACACUGAGGCUCGAAAGUGUGGGUAUCAAACAGGAUUAGAUACCCGGGUAGUC